GAUGAACGCUGGCGGCGUGCUUAACACAUGCAAGUCGAACGAUGAAGCCCAGCUUGCUGGGUGGAUUAGUGGCGAACGGGUGAGUAACACGUGAGCAACCUGCCCCUGACUCUGGGAUAAGCGCUGGAAACGGCGUCUAAUACUGGAUAUGUCCCGUCACCGCAUGGUGUGCGGGUGGAAAGAUUUUUCGGUUGGGGAUGGGCUCGCGGCCUAUCAGCUUGUUGGUGAGGUAAUGGCUCACCAAGGCGUCGACGGGUAGCCGGCCUGAGAGGGUGACCGGCCACACUGGGACUGAGACACGGCCCAGACUCCUACGGGAGGCAGCAGUGGGGAAUAUUGCACAAUGGGCGGAAGCCUGAUGCAGCAACGCCGCGUGAGGGAUGACGGCCUUCGGGUUGUAAACCUCUUUUAGCAGGGAAGAAGCGAAAGUGACGGUACCUGCAGAAAAAGCACCGGCUAACUACG
Molecule: ribosomal RNA, 465 nt
Filed under: uncultured bacterium
Lineage: Bacteria
Description: partial 16S ribosomal RNA
Rfam family: Bacterial small subunit ribosomal RNA
Source: RNAcentral